UACGUAGGCUCCAAGCGUUGUUCGGAAUUACUGGGCGUAAAGCGAGUGUAGGCGGUCCGUCAAGUCGGUUGUGAAAUCUCCUGGCUCAACUGGGAGGGUGCGAUCGAAACUGACGGACUGGAGUCUGGGAGAGGAGAGUGGAAUUCCUGGUGUAGCGGUGAAAUGCGUAGAUAUCAGGAGGAACACCGGUGGUGAAGACGGCUCUCUGGACCGGUACUGACGCUGAGACUCGAAAGCGUGGGGAGCAAACAGG
RNAcentral lists this ribosomal RNA (253 nucleotides) under uncultured bacterium. Its description in RNAcentral is "partial 16S ribosomal RNA". It matches the Rfam family "Bacterial small subunit ribosomal RNA", at positions 524 to 776 of the family's 1533-position model. The record is from RNAcentral.